RNAcentral lists this long non-coding RNA (650 nucleotides) under Sorghum bicolor (sorghum). RNAcentral's name for it is "long non-coding RNA (SBIC_LNC010088)". The record is from RNAcentral. Lineage: Eukaryota; Viridiplantae; Streptophyta; Magnoliopsida; Poales; Poaceae.
UACUGAUAGAUAAAGAAAGAAAGACUCUACCAAAGGGUAUAUGAUUAAGACCAAUGUAAAAAUAUCAAGAAAAAACAUGGUCUUGUUGGGCUAGGUUUAAACCAGAAUUUAUAGAAAAAUUAAGAGAUUCCCUAGGUGUAGCUAAAAGUGCAUUAUCUUCUUGAUUAAAAGAUAGGAUCUCAGCUAUAGAAAAGGGUUGGUUUUGACCUAUUGCAAUCAACUCCGGACACAGAUCAUAAUUAGGGGCAGGACUUGUUGACUCCCAUGGUCUAUGGCUGGUCUCCGAAGGUGCAAAAAAUUCAAUAAUAGGUAUGGAAUUUGAGUUAUCCAUAGAGAUGAAAAAAAUAAAAAGUUAAAAGAAUAAAAGUAUAAAAGUAUAAUAUAAGAUAAUAGCAAGAUUCAAAGUUAUCUCAGCAAACCGUCUUUCUACCCGGCAACGGCGCCAGAAAUGCUUGUUGAUAUUUGGUAACGCAAUAAGGAAAUGAUCCGCAAGCGCACAGAUAUCGGUGAGCAUUUCACCCGGGAGGUUAUCCAGAGUUAUCGUAUUUAUAUUUUUACCACUGGGAGAAAGGGUGCAUCUGACUAACCAAAUCUAUUGCUACUAUCCCUUUAGGCUACAAAGAAUGUUUCUCGAUGUGAGCGAUGUAUAG